RNAcentral lists this ribosomal RNA (382 nucleotides) under uncultured eukaryote. RNAcentral's name for it is "partial 18S ribosomal RNA". It matches the Rfam family "Eukaryotic small subunit ribosomal RNA", at positions 592 to 976 of the family's 1831-position model. The record is from RNAcentral.
UGUAAGCGUAUACCAAAGUUGUUGCAGUUAAAACGCUCGUAGUCGGAAUUUGGCAGUUCCGGAUGUGUGCACGUCGUGUGCGCACUUCGCGGGGAUUGCUUUUGUGGUCUUGCGUAGGAUGAGGCACUUUUAUUAGUGAACGUCCUCACGCAACCACUUUUUACUGUGAGAAAAUCAGAGUGUUCAAAGCAGGCAUUUGCCGUGAAUGUAUUAGCAUGGAAUAAUAGAAUAGGACUUGGUUCUAUUUUGUUGGUUUGUUGGGACUGAGUAAUGACUAAGAGGGACAGUUGGGGGCAUUUGUAUUUCGGUGCUAGAGGUGAAAUUCUUAGAUUACCGAAAGACAAACUGCUGCGAAAGCGUCUGCCAAGGAUGUUUUCAUUGA